AGCCUGAACGCUGGCGGCGUGGCUAAGACAUGCAAGUCGAACGGGCCUAGCAAUAGGUCAGUGGCGAACGGGUGAGUAAAGUAUCGCUAACGUACCCCUCAGUCUGGGAUAGCCGGGGGAAACUCCGGGUAAUACCAGGUGACAUUCUCUAUUCGCAUGGGUGGAGACUCAAAGGAGUAAUCCGUUGAGGGAGCGGGCGAUAUCGUAUCAGCUAGUUGGUGAGGUAAUGGCUCACCAAGGCGACGACGCGUAGCCGGGCUGAGAGGUCGGCCGGCCACAUUGGGACUGAGACACUGCCCAGACUCCUACGGGGGCUGCAGUAACGAAUCUUCCGCAAUGCACGCAAGUGUGACGGAGCGACGCCGCGUGUGGGACGAAGUCCUUCGGGAUGUAAACCACUGUCAGGGUAAGAAAGUUCUGAUCUACCCCAGAGGAAGGCACGGCUAACUCUGCGCCAGCAGCCGCGGUAA
Molecule: ribosomal RNA, 470 nt
Filed under: uncultured bacterium
Lineage: Bacteria
Description: SSU rRNA
Rfam family: Bacterial small subunit ribosomal RNA
Source: RNAcentral